This 492-nucleotide ribosomal RNA is filed under the name uncultured bacterium. Its description in RNAcentral is "partial 16S ribosomal RNA". It matches the Rfam family "Bacterial small subunit ribosomal RNA", at positions 29 to 507 of the family's 1533-position model. The record is from RNAcentral.
AGUGAACGCUGGCGGUAGGCCUAACACAUGCAAGUCGAACGGCAGCACAGUAAGAGCUUGCUCUUACGGGUGGCGAGUGGCGGACGGGUGAGGAAUACAUCGGCAUCUACUUUUUCGUGGGGGAUAACGUAGGGAAACUUACGCUAAUACCGCAUACGACCUACGGGUGAAAGCAGGGGAUCUUCGGCCCUCGCGCGAUUGAAUGAGCCGAUGUCGGAUUAGCUAGUUGGCGGGGUAAAGGCCCACCAAGGCGACGAUCCGUAGCUGGUCUGAGAGGAUGAUCAGCCACACUGGAACUGAGACACGGUCCAGACUCCUACGGGAGGCAGCAGUAGGGAAUAUUGGACAAUGGGCGCAAGCCUGAUCCAGCCAUACCGCGUGGGUGAAGAAGGCCUUCGGGUUGUAAAGCCCUUUUGUUGGGAAAGAAAAGCAGCAGGUUAAUACCCCGCUGUUCUGACGGUACCCAAAGAAUAAGCACCGGCUAACUUCGUG